AUGAUGAGCGGCGGUGGCAGUGGCAGCGGCAGCGGCGCGGGGCCGAGCAGCUCCAGCUUCGAGCGGCACGCGAAGCGGCGGCCCCCGGCGACGCCGGCGUCGGACCAGCAGCGGAAGCUGCUGCGGCUGUCGGUGCAGCACGGGCAGGGGGACGAGGACGCGCUGGCGGCGGGCGUGGUGCCGCCGGUGACGGUGGUCCUGGACGGGCGCUGCAUCUGCCACCGCAUCCAGCUCAGCUGCCACACCGGGUACCGCAGCCUCGCGGGCGCCCUCCGCCGCAUGUUCGUGGACGACGCGGCCGAGGGCGACGACGACGGGCUCGACCUCUCCAAUGCCGUCCCCGGGCACGUCGUGGCGUACGAGGACAUGGAGGACGACCUCCUCCUCGCCGGCGACCUCAACUGGAAGGACUUCUGCCGUGUGGCCAAGAGGAUCCGGAUCAUCCCGGCAAAGUCGACGACCCGAAGGAUCAAGCAAUGCGGAGGCGCGGUUAACUAG
This 498-nucleotide ribosomal RNA is filed under the name Triticum aestivum (bread wheat). RNAcentral's name for it is "partial small subunit ribosomal RNA". The record is from RNAcentral. Lineage: Eukaryota; Viridiplantae; Streptophyta; Magnoliopsida; Poales; Poaceae.